AGAAGAGUGUGGAUUUGAUGCAAUUGUGUUUACUAGUACUGGAGAAGUGGAAGGUUUGUUGAAGAGUUUGGAGGAAUUUGGAUUGGAUUGGUCAAUGGUGAGGAGGAGAUGUCCAAGAAUGGUGGUGGCAGCUCAUGGCCCUGUUACAGCUGCUGGUGCUGAGAGUUUGGGUGUUGGCAUUGAUGUGGUAAGUUCAAAUUUUGGUAGCUUUGAUGGUGUGGUUGAUGCAUUAGCUCAUAAAUGGAAAUCAUUGCAAAAUCAAGAUUCUU
Molecule: unclassified non-coding RNA, 269 nt
Filed under: Hevea brasiliensis (rubber tree)
Lineage: Eukaryota; Viridiplantae; Streptophyta; Magnoliopsida; Malpighiales; Euphorbiaceae
Source: RNAcentral